RNAcentral lists this ribosomal RNA (301 nucleotides) under uncultured bacterium. RNAcentral describes it as "partial 16S ribosomal RNA". It matches the Rfam family "Bacterial small subunit ribosomal RNA", at positions 509 to 808 of the family's 1533-position model. The record is from RNAcentral.
CAGUCGCGCGGGAAAACGUAGGGUGCAAGCGUUAAUCGGAAUUACUGGGCGUAAAGCGUGCGCAGGCGGUUAUAUAAGACAGAUGUGAAAUCCCCGGGCUCAACCUGGGAACUGCAUUUGUGACUGUAUAGCUAGAGUACGGCAGAGGGGGAUGGAAUUCCGCGUGUAGCAGUGAAAUGCGUAGAUAUGCGGAGGAACACCGAUGGCGAAGGCAAUCCCCUGGGCCUGUACUGACGCUCAUGCACGAAAGCGUGGGGAGCAAACAGGAUUAGAUACCCGUGUAGUCCCUGUCUCUUAUACA